GAAAGUAAAAAAGGGCGCAUGGCGGAUGCCUUGGCUCUCGGAGGCGAUGAAGGACGUGAUAAGCUGCGAUAAGCUUUGGGGAGGUGCAAAUGACCUUUGAUCCAGAGAUUUCCGAAUGGGACAACCCAAUAUCUUGAAGAGGUAUUAUCCAACGUUGUUGGAGGCUAACGCAGGGAACUGAAACAUCUUAGUACCUGCAGGAAAAGAAAAUAAACAAUGAUUCCCCCAGUAGUGGCGAGCGAACGGGGAACAGCCCAAACCAUCCAUGUUACGGCAUGGGUGGGGUUGUAGGACUACGCCGUUGCAUGAAGACAUCAGAGAAGAACUUUCUGGAAAGAAAGACCAUAGAGCAUGACAGUUGCGUAUUCGAAUGUUGUCGAAGCAUAGUAGUAUCCUGAGUAGCGCGGAGCACGAGGAAUUCUGCGUGAAUCUGCCGGGACCAUCCGGUAAGGCUAAAUACUCCCGAGAGACCGAUAGCGAACCAGUACCGUGAGGGAAAGGUGAAAAGCACUUCGAACAGAAGAGUGAAAUAGUUCCUGAAACCGUGCGCCUACAAGCGGUCGGAGCUCGUUAAUGAGUGACGGCGUGCCUUUUGCAUAAUGAACCUACGAGUUGCCUUUGCCGGCAAGGUUAAGUGUGACGACACACGUAUCCGAAGCGAAAGCGAGUCUGAACAGGGCGUAUAGUCGGCAGUGGCAGACGCGAAACCAAGUGAUCUACCCUUGGCCAGGUUGAAGGCUGGGUAACACCAGCUGGAGGACCGCACCAAUAAGCGUUGAAAAGCUUCUGGAUGAGCUGAGGGUAGGGGUGAAAGGCUAAUCAAACUUGGAGAUAGCUCGUACUCCCCGAAAUGCAUUUAGGUGCAGCCUUGCGGGUUACUGAUGUGAGGUAGAGCGACUGAUAAGAUGCGAGGGCUUCACCGCCUAUCAAGUCUUGACAAACUCCGAAUGCGCAUCAGUUCUACCGCAGGAGUGAGGGCAUGGGUGCUAAGGUCCGUGCCCGAGAGGAGAAGAAUCCGGACCACCUGCUAAGGUCCCGAAAUGACAGCUAAGUUAAACUAACGAAGUCUGACUGCUAAGACAGCUAGGAUGUUGGCUUGGAAGCAGCCAUUCAUUUAAAGAGUGCGUAACAGCUCACUAGUCGAGGAGUCGGGCGUGGAUAAUAAUCGGGUAUCAAGUUGUCUACCGAAGCAGUGGGAUCAUUAAUAUGAUCGGUAGGGGAGCAUUCCAGUCAGCGUCGAAGGCGUACCGUGAGGUAUUCUGGAGCGUCUGGAAAAGCAAAUGUAGGUAUAAGUAACGAUAAAGGGGGCGGGAAACCCCCUCGCCGAAAGACUAAGGUUUCCUGAUCAACGCUAAUCGGAUCAGGGUCAGUCGGGUCCUAAGGCUCAGCCGAACGGCGAUGCCGAUGGCAGAAACGGUUAAUAUUCCGUUACUACCUUCAGGAGUGACGUGGAGACGCAGUAGUGACAGUGCCGCCAUCUGACGGAAUAGAUGGUUGAAGGGUGUAGGAGUCGAUCAUGGCAGGCAAAUCCACCAUGAGAUCCGAACCUGACAGUAUGCCGCGUCCUUCGGGACAAGGCAAUAGUGCGCGUAAGCAUGCUGCCGAGAAAAUCCGCUAAACUUAAUCCUGCAGGUACCCGUACCGCAAACGGACACACGUAGUCGGGAUGAAUAUUCUAAGGCGCUUGAGUGAUUCACGGUUAAGGAACUAGGCAAACUGACCCUGUAACUUCGGGAUAAAGGGUCCCUACCCUUUUAUGGGAGGGCGCAGAGAAUCGGUCCAGGCAACUGUUUAACAAAAACACAGGGCUGUGCCAAAUCGAAAGAUCCAGUAUACAGCCUGACACCUGCCCGGUGCUGGAAGGUUAAGAGGAGAUGUCAUCGAUAAGAGAAGCGUUGAAUUGAAGCCCCAGUAAACGGCGGCCGUAACUAUAACGGUCCUAAGGUAGCGAAAUUCCUUGUCGGGUAAGUUC
Molecule: ribosomal RNA, 1972 nt
Filed under: human gut metagenome
Description: bacterial LSU rRNA
Rfam family: Bacterial large subunit ribosomal RNA
Source: RNAcentral